RNAcentral lists this long non-coding RNA (881 nucleotides) under Musa acuminata (dwarf banana). Its description in RNAcentral is "long non-coding RNA (MACU_LNC000066)". The record is from RNAcentral. Lineage: Eukaryota; Viridiplantae; Streptophyta; Magnoliopsida; Zingiberales; Musaceae.
CUACUUGGGUCUAGUCUUUGGUUCGUUUAAUGUGAAAUGGUUGUUUCUGUAUCUUUUCUUUCUUAUCGCAAGAACUAUAUCUACUUGGGUCUAGUGUUUGUUUCGUUUAAUGUGAAAUGGUUGUUUCUGUAUCUUUUCUUUCUUAUCACAAGACCUAUAUCUACUUGGGUCUAGUGUUUGUUUCGUUUAAUGUGAAAUGGUUGUUUNNNNNNNNNNNNNNNNNNNNAACUAUAUCUACUUGGGUCUAGUGUUUGUUUCGUUUAAUGUGAAAUGGUUGUUUCUGUAUCUUUUCUUUCUUAUCACAAGACCUAUAUCUACUUGGGUCUAGUGUUUGUUUCGUUUAAUGUGAAAUGGUUGUUUCUGUAUCUUUUCUUUCUUAUCACAAGAACUAUAUCUACUUGGGUCUAGUGUUUGUUUCGUUUAAUGUGAAAUGAUUGUUUCUGUAUCUUUUCUUUCUUAUCACAAGAACUAUAUCUACUUGGGUCUAGUCUUUGUUUCGUUUAAUGUGAAAUGGUUGUUUCUGUAUCUUUUCUUUCUUAUUAUAAGAACUAUAUCUACUUGGGUCUAGUCUUUGUUUCGUUUAAUGUGAAAUGGAUGUUUCUGUAUCUUUUCUUUCUUAUCACAAGAACAAUAUCGAAACUCGAUUCACAUCAUGCUCGAGCAAGUUUCAAUUAUACCAUUGUAACUGUUACAGAUGUACCAAGUCUGACAUGGUUGAUACAACCAAACCCACACCUGUAACCCAGGUUAAUUGAGUGGCGAACUGUUUGUCUAUUGUUUUAGCUACCAUUUCCCAUUACGUGGGAGUAGAAAGAGUCAGUCCUCCACAUUCACAUAGCAGUUUAGCCAAGAAAGUAUGACUCUGAUAUCUGUGAGCACGA